Molecule: ribosomal RNA, 772 nt
Filed under: Isochrysis galbana
Lineage: Eukaryota; Haptophyta; Isochrysidales; Isochrysidaceae
Description: partial Bacterial large subunit ribosomal RNA
Rfam family: Bacterial large subunit ribosomal RNA
Source: RNAcentral
ACCGAAGCUAUGGACUUGAAAAAGUGGUAGGGGAGCAUUGUAGUGUCGUCGAAGGUGUACUGCGAGGUAUGCUGGAGAAGCUACAAAAGAAAAUGUAGGCAUAAGUAACGAUAAUGCGGGCGAGAAACCCGCACACCGAAAGACUAAGGUUUCCUCAGCGAUGCUAAUCAGCUGAGGGUUAGUCGGGACCUAAGGCGAACCCGAAAGGGGUAGUCGAUGGACAACAGGUUAAUAUUCCUGUACUUCUUAUAAUUGCGAUGGGGUGACGGAGUAAUGAAAGCACCGCGGACUGACGGAAUAGUUCGUUAAAGCAUGUAGCUAUAGAACCAGAUUAAGAGUUAGGUUUUGGCAAAGUGUGAUAGUACCACAAAACUUCGGUAGCGUGGAUAGUGUGCCUAAAGGCUUCCAAGAAAAACCUCUAAGCUUCAGGUUAUGAGCGAUCGUACCCCAAACCGACACAGGUGGUCGGGUAGAGAAUACCAAGGCGCUUGAGAGAACUCGGGUGAAGGAACUAGGCAAAAUGGCACCGUAACUUCGGGAGAAGGUGCGCCGGCUAGGGUGAAGGACUUGCUCCGUAAGCUCUGGCUGGUCGAAGAUACCAGGUGGCUGCGACUGUUUAUUAAAAACACAGUACUCUGCAAACUCGAAAGAGGAAGUAUAGGGUAUGACGCCUGCCCGGUGCCGGAAGGUUAAUUGAUGGGGUUAGCGUAUGCGAAGCUCUUGAUCGAAGCCCCGGUAAACGGCGGCCGUAACAAUAACGGUCCUAAGGUAG